GGGGAAAUACACCAAACCCUAUUCCUGUAGCCAUUCUACAUCACCUUGUAUAUAUGCCAGGUGAGGCCCUCGGGACUAAGCUAAACAUAACACAGGUUCUUUACAACAUGGACUGGAGUCAGACAACAAUAGCAGGAUGCAGCAGUUAUUUAUUUACAUUUUUCAGCGUCAUAAAUCUCCAUAUAUCUCUAGCUCCAAGGAGAUGUGUACAACUCUCCUACAAGACAGACUCCAACUGGUAGAAAUAGCAGAUUUCUCACAGACAAAUAUCACUAGGUUGAUACGUUUAGUUCACAUACUCAAACAGACUAAAUAUCACUAGGUUGAUACGUUUCAUUCACAUACUCAAACAGACUAAAUAUCACUAG
This 368-nucleotide long non-coding RNA is filed under the name Salmo salar (Atlantic salmon). Its description in RNAcentral is "lncRNA (ENSSSAG00000082313.1, ENSSSAG00000086940.1)". Lineage: Eukaryota; Metazoa; Chordata; Actinopteri; Salmoniformes; Salmonidae. The record is from RNAcentral.